UACGUAGGGGGCAAGCGUUGUCCGGAUUUACUGGGCGUAAAGAGCUCGUAGGCGGUUUGUCACGUCUGCUGUGAAAUCCCGAGGCUCAACCUCGGGCCUGCAGUGGGUACGGGCAGACUGGAGUGCGGUAGGGGAGAAUGGAAUUCCUGGUGUAGCGGUGGAAUGCGCAGAUAUCAGGAGGAACACCGAUGGCGAAGGCAGUUCUCUGGGCCGUAACUGACGCUGAGGAGCGAAAGCGUGGGGAGCGAACAGG
This 253-nucleotide ribosomal RNA is filed under the name uncultured bacterium. RNAcentral's name for it is "partial 16S ribosomal RNA". It matches the Rfam family "Bacterial small subunit ribosomal RNA", at positions 524 to 776 of the family's 1533-position model. The record is from RNAcentral.